This 458-nucleotide ribosomal RNA is filed under the name uncultured bacterium. RNAcentral describes it as "bacterial SSU rRNA". It matches the Rfam family "Bacterial small subunit ribosomal RNA", at positions 47 to 507 of the family's 1533-position model. The record is from RNAcentral.
CUUAACACAUGCAAGGUCGAGGGGUAUAGUUCUUCGGAGCUAGAGACCGGCGCACGGGUGCGUAACGCGUAUGCAAUCUACCUUUACAGAGGGAUAGCCAGAGAAAUUUGGAUUAAUACCUCAUAGUAUGUGAGAAUCGCAUGGUUUUCACAUUAAAGUUCCAACGGUAAAAGAUGAGCAUGCGUCCCAUUAGCUAGAUGGUAAGGUAACGGCUUACCAUGGCGACGAUGGGUAGGGGUCCUGAGAGGGAGAUCCCCCACACUGGUACUGAGACACGGACCAGACUCCUACGGGAGGCAGCAGUGAGGAAUAUUGGACAAUGGGCGCAAGCCUGAUCCAGCCAUGCCGCGUGCAGGAUGACGGUCCUAUGGAUUGUAAACUGCUUUUGUACAGGAAGAAACACUCCCUCGUGAGGGAGCUUGACGGUACUGUAAGAAUAAGGAUCGGCUAACUCCGUG